CCGCCCGGAUCCGCCCGGAUCCGCGCGGACGCGUCGGGCUCUUAGCCCGCCGGCCGCCUUCUUUCUCUGCUCGCGGCCUGCGUAGUGCGUCUGGUCCGAGCUCGACAGGCGCUUGCCUGGCCUCGGCCCGCGAUGCCCUGACUCGACCCAGCACCGUGUCCGAGCGACCGCGGAGAAGGAAGGCAGAAGUUCGCGAGCACGCCCUGAGGCGCGUGCGGACGCCGCCUACUCCGUGCUGCCCACGAGCAGUUAGGACUUAGUCAGUCGUUCGGUUAAAGGAGCUGUGAAGUCCAUCAGAGGCCGACAGGACGCAGCUGGCUGGACGCCGCAGGCUCUGCGCGCGUGCUCGGGUGGGAGGUGGAGGCAUGAGGCCAGCCGCAGUGCCCCUAGGGACCAAGGCCGCGCCUGGCAUUGACCACCAGCCCACUCUUUGGUGCCCAUACCUCCGCUCCUCCGCUGUCACAAAAAAAGGGCUUGGGGACAAUAAUGAGUGCGGUGCGCUUUUGCUCAGGCAAGGGUCUACAGCAUUUUCAGGAGCUAGAAUCCUAAGACCCGACUCCUUACCUCUGACUCCAGGAGUCAGAAUCCAUCCACAAAGUUUGUAUAGUUAAGUCCUCUACUUGAUACAUUUAGCUUGGACGGGCAGUUUGCAAUCCUUUGCAGAAUUUUACCUCUGUGAAGUUUAGUGUUUAUGUAGCUGAAUAAAGCAUUCCAAAAAGGUUGGAUAUAAAUUUUUGUUUUAUUGAGGUACUGGUGAUCAAAUCCAGUGCUUUGCACAUACUAGGCAAGUACUGUACCACUGAGUAAAACCCCCAGCCUUAUUUUAUUUUGAGAUGAUGUCGGCCUAAAUAGCCCAAGCUGGCCUUCAACUUGUGAUUCUCUUUCCUCUGUCUCCCUAGCAGCUGGGACUACAAGUUUGUGCUACAGUCCUGGGGCUAAUUAUUGUUUUACUUUGACUAAAGUUUAUCCAAAUAGGGCCAAACUUUUUCCACCUGCAAAGAGUGGGCUGGGGGUGAAUCCCUGCAAUCCUAGCAACUCAGGAGGCUGAGGCAGGAGGGUCUUGACUGCUAGGCCAGCAUGGGAAAUUUAGCAAAUCCCCAUUUCAAAAUAAAAAGACAAAGGGGUUGAGAUGUAGCUCGGUACAUCACCCAGUGUUCCCAGUAUCCAGGGUGGGGAUAAAACCUAAUUCAUCUUCUCAUAAUCAGAAGCCCCAGAUUUUCAGGAGCAAUCUGAAUUUCAGGUACUCUUUCCCAUUCACAAACCAGGACCCAAAUUGUGAUUCCAGUUUGAAGCUCAUCUUUAUCAAUGGUUUUGGCCUUUAAGAUGAAAGAGAACCAUAUGAGGGAGUUCAAGAGCCAGAGGAGACUGGGGUUGUGGCUGAGUGGAAGAGCAUUUGCCUAGCAUGUGUGAGGUGCUUGGUUGGAUCCUCAGUACUACAUAUAAGUAAAUAAAGUUAUUGUGUCCAUCUACAAGUUAAAAAAAAAAUGACCUAGAGAAACAUGUUAAGAAGGACAUACUAAUAAAGACGACUGGUAGAGUUAACUGGCAGUCUAAGUCACUGGUUUUCAAACAUUCUUUUACUAUGAAAAGAAUUUUUUUUUUUUAAUAUGUGCCCACAGGCUGGAGAUAUAGUUCAGUGGUAAAGGGCUUGCCUAGGAUGCACAGGCUUAGGUAAAUCCAAUUUUAAAAAAUACCCCUUAGAUAGAUUUUUAAAAUUUUUUCACCAUAAGUGUAAGUUGUUGCAAAACAUGUAUUUUCCAGCAUAAUCUAAAUACACUUAAUUAAAUGGUCACAUCAUUCUUUAACAUUUUUCCAACAGAAUAUAAAUACCUCAGAGAUUUCAUAACUUAUGUGACAGUCUCCAAGAUAACCCAGCCUUUGUAUAGUCAGUCCCCUUCCACGCUAGAACACAGUUGGUCUGUGUGACCCAUAGGUCACACGCACAGUAGAAUGGCAUCUCACUUCCAAGAUUAGGUUAUAAGACUGUGUCUUCCAUGUCAGGUGUCCUCUGGCUUGACUUGUUUUUUCAGAUUACACAGACUGGAGAAGCCAACGUUCAUGUCAUGAGAAACCUGUGGAGAGGCUGAUAUGAACAGAAGACCAUGAGUUUGGAAGAAAUUCUCUAGCUCCAGGCAAGUGUUGAGAUCACAAUAGCCCCCAAAACCAAAGCCUGACCCUGAGAAACUGUAGGAGAUAAGAAAUGUUUGUUGUUUUAAACUCUUAAAUUAGGGCUAAUUUCUUACACAGCCAUUGUCAUCUGAAUAAAAAAAUCCAUAAACAUGUCAUCUAGAUCCUAGGUUCAUCUUCACAUCUGUAAUGAUUGUGUGUGUGUGGUGCUUGGGGUCCAACCAAGGGCCUCAUACAUGCUAGGGAAGCUCUUACAACUUAGCCCUGAAAUAAAUUUUGUAAAAAUAAUGAUAAAUGCAUAUUAAUUGUACAAAUUAAUGGGUUUCAAUGAGUCAUUUCCAUGCGUGCAUGUACUGUGUGCUUUGUUCAUA
Molecule: long non-coding RNA, 2498 nt
Filed under: Marmota monax (woodchuck)
Lineage: Eukaryota; Metazoa; Chordata; Mammalia; Rodentia; Sciuridae
Source: RNAcentral